RNAcentral lists this ribosomal RNA (301 nucleotides) under uncultured bacterium. Its description in RNAcentral is "partial 16S ribosomal RNA". It matches the Rfam family "Bacterial small subunit ribosomal RNA", at positions 509 to 807 of the family's 1533-position model. The record is from RNAcentral.
CAGCAGCCGCGGGAAAACGGAGGGAGCUAGCGUUGUUCGGAAUUACUGGGCGUAAAGCGCACGUAGGCGGCUCAGCGAGUCAGGGGUGAGAUCCCGGGGCUCAACCCCGGAACUGCCCUUGAAACUGCUAGGCUAGAAUCUUGGAGAGGCGAGUGGAAUUCCGAGUGUAGAGGUGAAAUUCGUAGAUAUUCGGAAGAACACCAGUGGCGAAGGCGACUCGCUGGACAAGUAUUGACGCUGAGGCUCGAAAGCGUGGGGAGCAAACAGGAUUAGAUACCCGAGUAGUCCCUGUCUCUUAUAC